Haliotis rubra (blacklip abalone) is the source of this 93-nucleotide long non-coding RNA. RefSeq lists it as uncharacterized. The transcript has 3 exons. The record is from RefSeq and is a predicted model, not a curated record. NCBI's taxonomy places the organism in Eukaryota, Metazoa, Mollusca, Gastropoda, Lepetellida, Haliotidae.
UUAGUGAAAUUCAAGUAAUAUGACAAUAUCACUCUUGAAAUAGGCUUCAGACUUUGUGUCAAGGAAUCAAGCCCUGGAUCCUUAAUCUCGAAA